Dendronephthya gigantea is the source of this 114-nucleotide long non-coding RNA. RefSeq lists it as uncharacterized. Lineage: Eukaryota; Metazoa; Cnidaria; Anthozoa; Malacalcyonacea; Nephtheidae. The record is from RefSeq and is a predicted model, not a curated record. The transcript is spliced from 3 exons.
GAAGAAACGUUUGAGAGAUCUCUGAGUGCUGGUAGUGUCCAGUGUUCAUUUGAUUACGUAAACGCGUCUCAAAUCUCGGAGUAUUCUGAGUUUUUACGCUUCUUUGACAUGGAG